Molecule: non-coding RNA, 6564 nt
Organism: Rattus norvegicus (Norway rat)
Lineage: Eukaryota; Metazoa; Chordata; Mammalia; Rodentia; Muridae
Source: RefSeq, a predicted model, not a curated record
CAGGGCACAAGCAACAGGCAAAGCCUGCACUUUCCCUCUCAGAAAGGGACCCGGUGGCCUGGGAGAACUGUUCCCAAAGCUGACUACAGCUGCUUUCUUACUCUCAGUAACUCUCACGGCGGCGGCGUGAAGCUCCAGGGAGACAGGCCUCUGUCCUCAGGGAAGCCAGCACUCCAGGUCUCUGUUUAGAAAGUCUCUUUUUGGCUGAUUCCUCUGCUGUGAACACAGCACCCCACCUUGGACACUCAAGAGUUAUUAAGCCAGUGACGAUCUGUUUCAAAAGGACGGUAUUAUUCAAACCUGAGCAGAAAGCAAACAGAGCAUCCAGGAACCCUCUAGCCCUGAGUGGGAGCCUCUUCAAGGGCUGGAAAGAGACAAGCAGAUGGCCAGUUGGAAGGGAACAGCGCAUCUCGUGCAUCUGAGGUCAGUAAAGGUUCUGGGCUGCCAGCACCUACAUAAAAACUCUCCACUAGUUCCACUGACCAGUGAAACAAGGAUCUUGUCUGCUUGGAAGGCACUAAAAAAGAGAGCUGGGGCAAUAGCUCUGUCAGUAAAGUGUUUGCCACAGAAGCAUGGGGAUCCCCAGAAGGCCCCCUCAUUCCUUUCAAAGCCAGAUAUGUCAGUGUGUGUCUGUACUAAGUGCUGAAAGGGAGAUGAUAUGUGGGUCCCUGGGACUCUCUGACCAGCCAGUUUAGUCAAAUUGGAAAGUUCCAGGCCAAUGGCAGACUCUACCACAAAAAGAAAGAAAAAAGUGGGUGGUGGUACCUAAUGAAUGACAUCCAAGGUUGACCUCUGGCCUACACGCAUAUACAUGCACACCCUGGCAUACACACACAGCACACACAUAUGUGUGGAAAUGAUGAACAGAUACACAGCCUUCAUUACCCUGCCUCAAUGUUGUCUUGACUAGGAGGAUCUAGUACACCACCAUCUAUCUCAAGGAGGGAGUCUGCAGCCAAGUGACAUCCAGAUACCAACUGGGGGCCGAUGGAUAAAGCCAGUUGUCCUAAUGGGCUCUUGCCAGAGCUGCAUAGGGUCAGUAGGAGUCACUUCUCAGACACCAAGUUCUUUUGGCAAACCCAAGAUCAAAGGACAAGAGAUUUGGGAAGGGUUUUUAAGAGAUGCUUUUGAGACAUCCGUGGCUACCCCGACUCUCUUGUCCUACCCUGUUUUAAGGAAGCUCCAUGUCUGUGAAGGAGGGUGAAAGAUGAACCCACUGUGAUGGUCAGGAAACCCCGUCUCACACAGGACACACAGUGCCAGCUCAGGGUCACAGCACAUGCCACUGAUGACCUGGCAUGAUAGGUACAUCCCUAGCCCAACUCAGCACCAGACACCAACAAGAGGCACACGAUCACAUGUUUCAUUUGUACGUCUUGCUGCCAAGUGCAGUACAGUUAGCCUCAAAGGUUUCUACAGCACAUCCCCACAGUCUACCAUGCUCUCCACAGAGAUGAGCUAUUGGCAGGAGGUGAGAGCGGGUGGUGAAGAGAGGAGGCAGGGGAAAAGCCAGGAAGUUGGCAAGUUGGCAGGCUGGUCCUUCCCACUUACACACACACACACACACACACACACACACACACACACACACACACUCACUCUUCAAUUCAGAAAGCUUAGCACAAUCGGCUUCCCUGGCUCCGGGCUUUCAUCCUCAAAGCUGCUUUCCACACAGACACACACACAGACACAAAGAUUCUAAAUAGAGCGGAACUGAGCAUGGGACUGUAGCCGAUGAAGUCUUCCCCUCCCCAGAAAGCUCAGCUCCACACACAGUGGCUGUUCUACCCCCAGCACCUCUUGCUCAAAGCAUUCUUGACCCAGGAGCACUGGACCCUGACCGGCAGGCACAAAGCUGCCACGGUUGGAUUUUGCUUCUGCAGCAUUUUGCUUGGGUGCCUCCUCCUCCCUUCCAUCAUCAGAUGAUGCCUUCUCCAGACUCCCAGGGUCUGUGUCGGUCCUGGAAGACAACUUGGGGAGCCUAUUACCAGCAAGGAAAAGGAGCCUGAAAUCUCACUAUUGACUUCUAAGUGAUACUCAGAGGCUUGGUGAACUCACAGAACCUCAGUGUUCCCAAAAUGGAAGUCUUAGAGCAGAGACCACCAUGUCUGAGAGCAGACCACAGACCCACUUUUGUGCUAGGUUAUCAGAGGAUAAUUUCUAUUAUGUUAGAGUCUUCUGUUGGCCCCAACUGGUCCUGUGCAAUCAAUCCAUCAGGGUGGUUUCAUAGAGUCGCAUGUUUGGUUCUGGAAGAAUCUAGCCAAAACACAGUCCCAAGGGGCACAGAACCCAUAGUAACGUAUAGAUCUAGGCAUAGCAUAGCCAUGGUUUUUUUUUUUUUGUACUUUAGUCACUUGAGGUUUGUUCUGCUUUGGGGGCAGGGUCUCAUGUAGCCCUGGGUGGUCUAGAACCUUCUUUGUAGCCAAGAAUGACCUUGAAUGACCUUGAACUUUUGAUCCUCCUGCCACCACACCCCGUUUGUGUGCAAUGCUACGACUCCCACCCAGAUUUUUUUGUACAUGAUGGGCAGGCAGACUGCUUUAGUCUCCACAAACGUCAAUAACAUGCCAGCCAGGGUUUGUUGGGAGGUAUUCGGACCCUCUGCAAUGCAAAGGUCAUGAGGUAACCGACUCAAAACCCAGGUGCCAGCCUGGGCCAAGGCGACAGACUUCUUUUCACGGCUACAGAAAGCUCAGAUAAUGGCUACUCGGCCUCCUGCGUGUGCAUCCCGGCGUCCAGAGCACAUGGCAGAGAUUACCCUGUAGAAUCUCUGGAAGGAGCUUGUGGGGUGUCAAACUGGAGGAUGGGAAGCCUGAGGACCCGGCUCAUCUGGAAGUUGUGACAAGACAACCAACCCAGCCUCCACCCAAGCCACUUCCUGGUAUUCCCACCGAGUAUGAGGCCAAACUGAUUCCAUGACUUGCCAAUGAGUCAGGGCCACCCUGUUCUUCACAGCCUCUCUGAACUCGGCACCGCAAAGGCAGGGGACAAAAUUAAUUUUAAAGAGAAUGUGAGAAUUACUAACGCUUAUCGCCGGCAUCGUAGGCACCCCUCCCUCCUCCUCCUCCACACCAACAUGAAGGAAAAACAUGUCUGAGGAGAAUCCAAACAUUGGAUGGGAGGAAUACUACAAAAUGCGCAGAUGGGAGUCCUGGGCCACGCCAUGCAUUUAAAGAUAAGUAGACCACUUUGUCCUUUGUGGUUUGGGUUUGUGGCGUCCUCCGGUCACACGGGUUUCUGAGCUGGGACACAGGCGGUAGCGUCCAUUCUUUCUCUCUCAAGUCUGGUUCAGACCAAGACAAGAUGGAAAUGCAGGGCAAAGGAAUGCUUUCCCCUCUGGAUGAACUGUUUUACAAUAAGCUACCUGCUGGGGUCAGGAAAUAUGAGAUCUGGGGAUUUCAGCUCCCACCAAAGCUCACACAGGGGUAGGCAGGCUGCAGUGAUCUGGGGAGGAUAUGCUCAACCCCACACAGCCCUUAGUGUCUGCUCCGGUUUUCCUUGGGAAACACAUCUCUCUCCUAUUUCACCUCCUUCCUCCCUUGGUUCUCACUCAACCUGUGCUCACAGCCCGCCUGGUGAGAGCCACAGCUUCCAGCCAAAGAUCUACCAUACUCCCAACACUGCUGCUCACUACCAAGGUGCUGGCAUGAUAGGGGAGGGCAGGGCAGGGUUGUUCCCUAGGCGCCCAUAGAAAACCUAUUUUCUUUGUAAUUAGGUGUGUGAUGCUCCAAUCGGAGAGAGGGGUGACCAAGACAAAAAUAAACAGGGAGCAGCGGAAACAGGCAGCCCUGCCCUGGGAAUGAGAACCGUGAAGGAUGAAAGUUUAUACAAACACGGAAAAAUGGUCAGUGUCAGAAGACAGAAAGGCCUGUGCUUGCUUCUGCACUGGAAGGGAAGUUGGUUUAUGACGUUUUCUUUGCUCCUUAGUUUCGAAUGCUCUCCUGGCCCCGUGUCCUUUAAACAAACCGGCUUUUCCAUUCUCUCACGGUGCCGGGAGGGCCGAAGGUUGAGUUGGCCGAGCUGACCACUGAAUGUCACAGUUCUGAAAGCCCACACCCAGUCAGAGAGGUAAAACUGGGGUAUGGACAAGGAGAAAGCCAGGGAGGUCUCUGCCUGCCUCCCCAGCUACCACCCCGGGAGAAGAGCCACAGAAAGAGCUUUAAGUAUUCAGAGUGUACCUAAGACUGCAUUUCUAAGGCCCGGUAAGGAUAGGUUCAAGAUCUUGAUCUUCAGUAGAAAACCUUGAGGGCACUGGAAGCCACGGGAGAUGAAGGCUUGAGUCUGGCUGCUGAGGCCAAGGCCCACAGUUCUGACAUCACAGACAAAACCCACAGAGCCCAAAACCCACUGCACUGGGCUACCACGUGACGUACCACAGAUCCUUGUGCACCUGAAACGACUGCUUCCCACCCAGACUCAGGGGACCCAUGUGCUUCCUUGCUCGAAUCACAGAUUGGGAAUCUCCAACCCCAAAACGCAAAGUCCAAAAUGCCCUCCUCUCCCAUGUCCAAUAGGACACCACAGGUAGAAAACUCGAUACUGGACCUCAGGUCACGUGUUCUACUCAAAACACAUGUCCAAAAAAAAAAAAAAAAAAAAAAAACUACCAUAGGAGGUCACCUCCAGGUCGUACGUGUCAGCUCUAUUUGAAAUCAGUGAGUUGUUCUGACACCCUGGUUUCGGAUGUGUAUAUUUCAAAAUCUGAAAGUUCCGAAAUCCCAAGCAGUUCUCUAACUUUUUUAAACAUUUACUUAUUGACUUAUUGUUUGUAUGCAUGCCCUAGCAUGUGUGUGAAGGCCAGAAAUAGUUGGUAGGAAUCGGGUCUCUACUCACGCUGUGUGGAUUACAGGGCUUGAACUCAGAUCAUCGGGUGUGGCAGUGAGUGUCUUUGCCCACUGAGCCAGUAGCUCUACACACACUUCGUAGGUUACUCAGGCUUUGAGUUGUGAUAAAUAAGAUAGAUCGUGGGGAUAAAAUCUAAAGGAAAUCUGACCUACUCUGGCUGAUGGUUUCACAGCGUCCAGUGCACGUCUGCUCGGUACCAUGGAUCGGCACAAAAUGCCAUGGCAGUGGGAACAUGAUGCGGUGGUGUUUCGUCAGGGAACAUGGAGAGUGAAGAAAAGGAGAUCCAGGAAGUGAACUGGGAAGCAUAGCAUGAACCGCUCACCUGCGUCCCUUAACUAGACUUAACUAGGCUUUUACUGCCUCUCAGUAAUGUCUCAAGUAUGAGUCCAUCAAAGGGACCGAGACAUUGAUUAGAUCUAAUCAUCCCUGGGAAAGCCAUGGCAGACACUCCCAGGGGUGUGCUUUAUGCACUAUCUACUAGGUAUGCCUCCCUCCAGUGAAGUCAACGAUCAUGAUUAAUCAUCAUGCUUGGUGUCUAAGUCAUGUUUUAUAGGGGGCGCCCACCCUGGAUUAACACAGCUAAGAUGCCGAGUUGAGGGAGUGUUGUUGUUCCGAGUUCUGUUCCAAGGGCCAGAACUCAGCCCUUGGAACUUCUAAACCACUCUUAGAAGCAGGGCAGAGAAGGGAACGGGAGCUAGGGACGUGACUCAGAAGCUGAAGUGAAUGGGUAAAGCCAUGCAAGCAUGAAGACCUGAGUCCCAGCCCCAGUGCCCAGAGACAAAGCCACACAUAGACAUACACACUUGGAAUCCCAGCACCGAGGAGCAGGGACAGACGGGAGUGGAUUUCAUAACUUUGAGUUAAAAGAGGGAAAGAAGACGGGUCAGUUGGUCUUGCCAAAUUGGUGUGUUCCAGGUUCAAUGAGAGACCCUGCUUACUAAAAAUAAAAUAAAAUAAAUAAAUAAAUAAAUAAAUAAAUAAAUAAAUAAAUAAAUAUUUAAAAGGUGGACAGCUCCUAUAAGUAAAACUGGCUUCCACACACAUGUACACAAGUACAUCAGGGCCUGCUUAUAUAUAUGCAAAACACACACACAGCGCGCGCACACACACACACACACACACACACACACACACACACACUGGAAAUCAAGGGACAGAAACACUUAAUGAAUCGCAUGAUAUCCCUGUUGAAGGUUCAACUCUGCCUGGCUUUCCUUUACAACUUUGAACCUAUGUAAGCUACUUGGGACAAUGGAACAUUCAAGAGGCCAGAAUUCAUGGGGUAGAAAGGCCACCAGGAUGAGAGCAGUAAGAGACAUCCCAGUGAUCACAGCGGACCUUUGGGGUGCGUGUCAGACACUACUGAUGUUCACCCGCAUUUGUAGGACAGAGUCGAGCAUUUGUUGGAUCUCCUGCACCCAGGAGGAGCAUCCUGGCCAGUUCCUGCCAAUGCAGUGUGACCAGGAGAGGGGGGAGGUCCCUCCAGGUUACAGAGUGACCCACUAGCCUAUUCUUACAUAGAUCUCUGGCACAAGAGGAAGGAAGAACUGGAAUAACAACUGGGACAUGGUCACUAUUAACUGAGCCCGGGUCCCAGCAUUUCUUUUUUUUUUUUUUUUUUUUUUGGUUCUUUUUUUUCGGAGCUGGGGACCGAACCCAGGGCCUUGCGCUUCCUAGGUAAGCGCUCUAUCACUGAGCUAAAUCCCCAGCCCCCCAGCA